GACGAACGCUGGCGGCGUGCCUAAUACAUGCAAGUAGAACGCACAGUUUAUACCGUAGCUUGCUACACCAUAAACUGUGAGUUGCGAACGGGUGAGUAACGCGUAGGUAACCUGCCUGGUAGCGGGGGAUAACUAUUGGAAACGAUAGCUAAUACCGCAUAAUAUUGAUUAUUGCAUGAUAAUUGAUUUAAAGAUGCUAUUGCAUCACUACCAGAUGGACCUGCGUUGUAUUAGCUAGUAGGUGAGGUAACGGCUCACCUAGGCGACGAUACAUAGCCGACCUGAGAGGGUGAUCGGCCCAACUGGGACUGGGACACGGCCCAGACUCCUACGGGAGGCAGCAGUAGGGAAUCUUCGGCAAUGGACGAAAGUCUGACCGAGCAGCGCCGCGUGAGUGAAGGAGGUUUUCGGAUCGUAAAGCUAUGUUGUAAGGGAAGAAAGGGUGUGAGAGUGGAAAGUUCACACUGUGACGGUAUCUUAACAGAAAGGGACGGCUAACUACGUG
RNAcentral lists this ribosomal RNA (505 nucleotides) under uncultured bacterium. RNAcentral's name for it is "partial 16S ribosomal RNA". It matches the Rfam family "Bacterial small subunit ribosomal RNA", at positions 28 to 507 of the family's 1533-position model. The record is from RNAcentral.